AGAGUUUGAUCAUGGCUCAGGACGAACGCUGGCGGCGUGCCUAAUACAUGCAAGUCGAGCGAACUUGUGGGAGCUUGCUCCCAUAAGUUAGCGGCGGACGGGUGAGUAACACGUGGGCAACCUGCCUAUAAGACUGGGAUAACUUCGGGAAACCGGAGCUAAUACCGGAUAAUUCAUAUCUACACAUGUAGGUAUGCUGAAAGACGGUUUACGCUGUCACUUAUAGAUGGGCCCGCGGCGCAUUAGCUAGUUGGUGAGGUAACGGCUCACCAAGGCGACGAUGCGUAGCCGACCUGAGAGGGUGAUCGGCCACACUGGGACUGAGACACGGCCCAGACUCCUACGGGAGGCAGCAGUAGGGAAUCUUCCGCAAUGGACGAAAGUCUGACGGAGCAACGCCGCGUGAGUGAUGAAGGUUUUCGGAUCGUAAAACUCUGUUGUUAGGGAAGAACAAGUACUAGAGUAACUGCUAGUACCUUGACGGUACCUAACCAGAAAGCCACGGCUAACUACGUGCCAGCAGCCGCGGUAAUACGUAGGUGGCAAGCGUUGUCCGGAAUUAUUGGGCGUAAAGCGCGCGCAGGCGGUCCUUUAAGUCUGAUGUGAAAGCCCACGGCUCAACCGUGGAGGGUCAUUGGAAACUGGGGGACUUGAGUACAGAAGAGAAGAGGAAUUCCACGUGUAGCGGUGAAAUGCGUAGAGAUGUGGAGGAACACCAGUGGCGAAGGCGACUCUUUGGUCUGUAACUGACGCUGAGGCGCGAAAGCGUGGGGAGCAAACAGGAUUAGAUACCCCAGUAGUCC
This 803-nucleotide ribosomal RNA is filed under the name uncultured bacterium. RNAcentral describes it as "bacterial SSU rRNA". It matches the Rfam family "Bacterial small subunit ribosomal RNA", at positions 8 to 796 of the family's 1533-position model. The record is from RNAcentral.